AGGCUGCAACUCGCCUGCAUGAAGCUGGAAUUGCUAGUAAUCGCGGAUCAGCAAGCCGCGGUGAAUACGUUCCCGGGCCUUGUACACACCGCCCGUCACACCAUGAGAGUCGGGAACACCCGAAGUCCGUAGCCUAACCGCAAGGGGGGCGCGGCCGAAGGUGGGUCCGGUAAUUGGGGUGAAGUCGUAACAAGGUAUC
This 199-nucleotide ribosomal RNA is filed under the name uncultured bacterium. RNAcentral's name for it is "partial 16S ribosomal RNA". It matches the Rfam family "Bacterial small subunit ribosomal RNA", at positions 1302 to 1500 of the family's 1533-position model. The record is from RNAcentral.